This 74-nucleotide transfer RNA is filed under the name Saccoglossus kowalevskii. RNAcentral describes it as "tRNA-Asn". It matches the Rfam family "tRNA". From Rfam's summary of the family: Transfer RNA (tRNA) molecules are approximately 80 nucleotides in length. Their secondary structure includes four short double-helical elements and three loops (D, anti-codon, and T loops). Further hydrogen bonds mediate the characteristic L-shaped molecular structure. tRNAs have two regions of fundamental functional importance: the anti-codon, which is responsible for specific mRNA codon recognition, and the 3' end, to which the tRNAs corresponding amino acid is attached (by aminoacyl-tRNA synthetases). tRNAs cope with the degeneracy of the genetic code in two manners: having more than one tRNA (with a specific anti-codon) for a particular amino acid; and 'wobble' base-pairing, i.e. permitting non-standard base-pairing at the 3rd anti-codon position. Lineage: Eukaryota; Metazoa; Hemichordata; Enteropneusta; Harrimaniidae. The record is from RNAcentral.
GUCUCUGUGGCGCAAUCGGUUAGCGUUUUCGGCUGUUAACCGAAAGGUUGGUGGUUCAAGCCUACCCAGGGACG